RNAcentral lists this ribosomal RNA (464 nucleotides) under uncultured bacterium. Its description in RNAcentral is "partial 16S ribosomal RNA". It matches the Rfam family "Bacterial small subunit ribosomal RNA", at positions 338 to 795 of the family's 1533-position model. The record is from RNAcentral.
CCUACGGGCGGCAGCAGUGGGGAAUUUUGCGCAAUGCUCGUAAGAGUGACGCAGCGACGCCGCGUGAAUGACGAAGGCCUUCGGGUCGUAAAGUUCUUUCGACAGGGAAGAAAAUGCCUAUAAGUAACUGUGUAUGUAUUGACGGUACCUGUAUAAGCAGCCCCGGCUAACUCCGUGCCAGCAGCCGCGGUAAUACGGAGGAUGCGAGCGUUAUCCGGAUUUAUUGGGUUUAAAGGGGGCGCAGGCGGAGGCACAAGUCAGCGGUAAAAUCGCGGGGCUCAACCCCGCUCCGCCGUUGAAACUGUGUCCCUUGAGUGCGCGAAGGGUAGGCGGAAUGCGUGGUGUAGCGGUGAAAUGCAUAGAUAUCACGCAGAACUCCGAUCGCGAAGGCAGCCUACCGGCGCGCAACUGACGCUCAUGCACGAAAGCGUGGGUAUCGAACAGGAUUAGAUACCCUUGUAGUC